UCCUGGUUAGCUCAGUUGUCAAAGCGCUCCCCUGGAAAUGGAGAGGUGCCUGGUUCGAUACCACGACCAGGCG
Molecule: transfer RNA, 73 nt
Filed under: Ixodes scapularis (black-legged tick)
Lineage: Eukaryota; Metazoa; Arthropoda; Arachnida; Ixodida; Ixodidae
Description: tRNA-Ser for anticodon GGA
Rfam family: tRNA
About the family: Transfer RNA (tRNA) molecules are approximately 80 nucleotides in length. Their secondary structure includes four short double-helical elements and three loops (D, anti-codon, and T loops).
Source: RNAcentral